Callithrix jacchus (white-tufted-ear marmoset) is the source of this 107-nucleotide small nuclear RNA. NCBI's taxonomy places the organism in Eukaryota, Metazoa, Chordata, Mammalia, Primates, Cebidae. The record is from Ensembl.
GUGUUCACUUCAACAGCACAUAUACUAAAAUUGGAACGAUACAGAGAAGAUUAGCAUGGCCCCUGUGCAAGGGUAAUGUGCAAAUUCAUGAAGCGUUCUGUAUGUUU